This 497-nucleotide ribosomal RNA is filed under the name uncultured bacterium. RNAcentral's name for it is "partial 16S ribosomal RNA". It matches the Rfam family "Bacterial small subunit ribosomal RNA", at positions 28 to 507 of the family's 1533-position model. The record is from RNAcentral.
GAUAAACGCUGGCGGCGUGCCUAAUACAUGCAAGUCGAGCGAACGGACGAGAAGCUUGCUUCUCUGAUGUUAGCGGCGGACGGGUGAGUAACACGUGGAUAACCUACCUAUAAGACUGGGAUAACUUCGGGAAACCGGAGCUAAUACCGGAUAAUAUUUUGAACCGCAUGGUUCAAAAGUGAAAGACGGUCUUGCUGUCACUUAUAGAUGGAUCCGCGCUGCAUUAGCUAGUUGGUAAGGUAACGGCUUACCAAGGCAACGAUGCAUAGCCGACCUGAGAGGGUGAUCGGCCACACUGGAACUGAGACACGGUCCAGACUCCUACGGGAGGCAGCAGUAGGGAAUCUUCCGCAAUGGGCGAAAGCCUGACGGAGCAACGCCGCGUGAGUGAUGAAGGUCUUCGGAUCGUAAAACUCUGUUAUUAGGGAAGAACUUAUGUGUAAGUAACUGUGCACAUCUUGACGGUACCUAAUCAGAAAGCCACGGCUAACUACGUG